This is an RNA transcript of Hemicordylus capensis (graceful crag lizard), 13505 nucleotides long. It is a transcript of the gene named vacuolar protein sorting 13 homolog C, with no coding region annotated. The record is from RefSeq and is a predicted model, not a curated record. NCBI's taxonomy places the organism in Eukaryota, Metazoa, Chordata, Lepidosauria, Squamata, Cordylidae. The transcript is spliced from 83 exons.
CCUCCCUCCCUCGGCGGGGCGGAGGAAGAAGCGGGCUGAGCUGCCGGGGCGCCUGACUGCCUGCCUGCCGCGGCUGGUCUCGCGGGGUCGGCCGCCUCUGCCGCCGCCAUGGUGCUGGAGUCGGUGGUGGCGGACCUGCUGAACCGCUUCCUGGGCGACUACGUGGAGAACCUGAACAAGUCGCAGCUCAAGCUGGGCAUCUGGGGGGGCAAUGUGGCACUAGACAACUUGCAGAUAAAAGAGAAUGCGCUGAGUGAAUUGGAUGUACCUUUCAGAGUAAAGGCUGGACGAAUCGACAAGCUAACUUUGAAGAUUCCUUGGAAGAACCUAUAUGGCGAGGCUGUAGUUGCUACACUUGAAGGCCUAUAUCUGCUCGUUGUCCCCGGGGCAAGUAUUAAAUAUGAUGCAGAAAAAGAAGAAAAGUAUCUACAGGAUAAUAAGCAAAAGGAACUAUCAAGAAUUGAAGAAGCCCUACAAAAAGCAUCCGAGAAAGGAGCUCACUCAGGUUUCAUCUACGGCUUGGAAAAUAUUGUAUACAAGGACACCAAACCUGGACGUAAGUCUAAAAAGACUAAAAAGCACUUUAAGAAACCCUUUAAAGGUCACGAUCGCGCAAAAGAUAAACCAAAGGAAGAAAAGAAAGAUACAUUUUUGGAGAAACUUGCCACACAGGUUAUCAAAAAUGUGCAAGUAAAAAUCACUGGCAUCCAUAUCAAGUAUGAGGAUGAUAUCACAGAUCCUAGCCGGCCACUUUCUUUAGGAAUGACCCUGGGGGAACUGAGUUUACUGACGGCUAAUGAAAACUGGACUCCUUGCAUUUUAAAUGAGGCUGCUAAAAUCAUAUACAAGCUUUUGCGCCUUGACUCCCUCAGUGUCUAUUGGAAUGUGGAUAGUGAAAUGUAUUAUCACACUUCCCGGGAACAAAUACUGGAGCGGUUGAAAGGAGGAGUCCCUUCGACCAGCCGAAAGCCUCCAGACUAUCAGUAUAUAUUUAGGCCGGUGUCAGCCUCUGCAAAGCUCUACAUCAACCCUCAUGCAGAAAUGGAACUGAAAACGCCUAAGAUUGAUUGGAGCAUGGAAGUACAGAGCAUUGCUGUUGAACUGACCAAGCCACAGUACCUUAGUAUGCUCGAUCUUCUGGAGUCCAUAGAUUACAUGGUUCGAAAUGUGCCAUACAGAAAGUACAGACCAGAUGUACCACCACAUAAGCAUGCCAGACAAUGGUGGGAAUAUGCGACAAAUGGCAUUCUUGAGGUUCAUGUCCGACGAUACGCCAGAAUGUGGUCAUGGAGUAACAUAAAGCGCCACAGGCAGCUUCUGAGAAGUUACAAAAACGUUUAUAAAAACAAGUUGACCCAGACCAAAGUAUCGGAAGAAACACAAAAACAAAUGCAGGACCUUGAAAAAGAUCUGGAUGUGUUCAAUAUUGUGCUAGCAAGACAGCAAGCACAAGUUGAGGUUAUAAGGUCAGGACAAAAGCUGUUGAGAAAGAAAUCCAUGGAUGGAGAGAAGAAAAGUGGUGGAUGGUUUAGUGGACUGUGGGGUAAGAAGGAACAGAAGAAAAAAGAAGAUGAAGAAGAACUAUCAGUUCCUGAAACUAUUGAUGACCUCAUGACACCAGAAGAAAAGACGAAGCUCUUCACUGCCAUUGGCUAUAGUGACAGUUCUCACAAUCUGACGUUGCCCAAGAAGUACGUUGCCCAUGUGGUGUCUCUGAAACUGUUAAGCACUUCCUUUACAAUUAAAGAAGACCAAAAUGUUCCAGAUACGCUGAAAAUCCAGAUAAUUGAUUUGAGCACAAAAAUAUCCCAGAGACCAGGAGCUCAAGCUCUGAAGGUCGAAGCCAAGCUUGAGCAUUGGUAUGUAACAGGUUUGAAACAACAGAACAUUGUGCCUUCUCUUGUGGCUUCAAUUCGGGACACCAGCUCAUCUCUGCUUAAAUUAGAGUUUGAGACCAAUCCAGAAGACUGCACAGCAGACCAGAGCUUCACUGUUGAGUCACAGCCUGUGGAAAUCAUAUAUGAUGCAAAAACAAUAAAUGCAAUGGUGGAAUUCUUCCAUACAAAUAAAGGCAUGGACCUUGAGCGCUUAACCACAGCUACGUUAUCGAAGAUAGAAGAAAUUAAAGAGAGGACCGCUACAGGGCUUGCACAUAUUAUUGAAACCCGAAAAGUCCUCAACCUUAGGAUUAAUCUGAAACCUUCCUAUCUUCUGGUUCCACGGAUGGGCUUCCACUAUGAAAAGUCAGACCUUCUUAUUUUGGAUUUUGGUACUUUUCAGUUGAACAGCGUCUAUCAAGGCAACCAUAAUACUUCGAGCACAUCCCUGGAAGAGAUUAUGGACAAAGCGUAUGACAAAUUUGAUGUAGAAAUCAAGAACGUGCAACUGCUAUUUGGCAGAUCAGGAGAAAAUUGGAAGAAGGCACGAUUUGAGCAUCCUUCAGCACUUCAUAUAUUGCAGCCCAUGGAUAUCCAUGUACAGCUUGCCAAAUCGAUGGUGGAGAAAGAUAUCAGGAUGGCGAGGUUCAAAGUGUCAGGAGAGCUUCCUUUGGUUCAUCUGAGAGCUUCUGACCUGAAGAUCAAAGGUGUCUUUGAACUCCUUGACAGCAUCCCCCUCCCACAAAAGUCAACUGUCUCAGCUUCAAGUGUAAAAGCUCCUGCCAUUCCUAUUAUUGCGGAUGCAAGGAAAGGAUUUCUUAGUGCACCACUACUACUGGAAGGAGUAGAAUCUGAAUCUGAAGAAGAGUAUUUUGAUGCUGAUGAUUGUCCCAAACCAGUGGGAAAGACGUCCCCUAGGAAAAGAGAGCAAAAAACUGAGGUUGGGACAGUUCAGGAAGAGCUCACAGAUCUUCAGCUGAAGUUUGAAAUUAGAGAGGUGAUCUUGGAACUCACCAAGCAACUACAGAGAGAAGAAACGGUCCUCAUAUUUAAUGUAAAGCAGCUUGGAACAGAAGCGACUGUCAGAACAUUUGACUUGAGAGCUGUAUCCUAUCUGAGGAAAAUCAGCCUGGAUUAUUAUGAAAUUCAAGGUAAAAGACAACAGCUUCAUCUAAUUAGCUCUUCAGAUAAACCUGGAUUAGAUCUCUUGAAAGUAGAGUACACCAAGGCUGAUAAAAAUGGUCCAAAAUUUCAGACUGUUUUCGAAAACACCAAACAAACAGUUCAGGUUGCUUUCUCCUCGUUAAACCUUCUGCUGCACACGCAGGCCCUUCUGUCCACCAUCAAUUUUCUCAUGGCUGUUAUCCCAUCGAGAGACCUCAGUGCUGCAGAUAAAGGGUCAUCUCAGAUACAGCAAGAAAAACAAACUAGUUUGAAGAAAGUGGUGAAAACCGGCAGAGACAAGGAUGUUUUUGACUUCAGACUGUUUGCCAAGUUGGAUGCCUUCUGUUUAAAUGUUUGUGAUGAGAACAGUAUUGCUGAAAUUAAAAUUCAAGGUCUUGAUUCGUCACUGUUUCUUCAGUCAAGUCAAACCACUCUCUUUGCACGGCUGAAGGACAUCAUUGUUGCAGAUGUUGAUCCAGGAACUAUUCAUAAAAAGGCUGUUUCUAUAGUAGGCGACGAGGUCUUCAGUUUCAACUUGGUGUUGUAUCCGGAUGCUACUGAGGGAGAAGCCUAUACGGACAUGUCCAACGUGGAUGGGAUUGUAACUCUCAAAGUGGGCUGCAUUCAGAUUGUGUACCUACAUAAGUUCCUCAUGUCCCUCCUGAAUUUCCUGAACAACUUCCAAAUGGCAAAAGAGGCCGUGAGUGCUGCCACGGUUCAGGCCGCAGAGAAGGCCGCAACGAGCGUGAGAGACCUGGCUCAGAGGAGCUUCCGGCUUUCCAUGGAUAUCCAUCUUAAGGCUCCAGUUAUCCUCAUCCCCCAGUCUUCCGUCUCUUACAAUGCUGUAGUGAUUGAUCUUGGACUGAUCAGGAUACAAAACCAAUUCAGCUUGGUGUUGACGGAGGACUGCCCGCUCCCUCCAGUUAUGGAUAAAUUGGAUGUACAGUUGACACAGCUUAAGAUGUUGAGGACAGUCUUACAACCGGGAUUUUCACAGACGGACAUUCAAAUUCUUCAUCCUAUUAAUCUUAACCUUUCUGUGAAUCGCAACCUGGCUGGAAUGUGGUAUCACAAAAUACCCUUGGUGGAAAUCAAAGGACAUCUAGAUACAAUGAACAUUAUCCUAAGACCAGAGGAUUUGAAUGUUCUGCUGAAAGUACUGACAGAAAACCUUGCUGAAGCAGACAAUAUGAGUGUUGCAAAGCCAAUGGCCCCAGAUGAAGCAGGCAACAUAAAAGAAAUACCACUAUCACGGGGAGCUCAGAAAGAGAGGCCACUUGAUGAUGACUCCUCAAGCAUCCCCAACGAAGCCUUACAGGAAGAUAUGACAAACUUGCUGCUUAACUUUGAAAUCAAAGAGGUUGUAGUAACAUUAAUGAAACAGGUAGAAAAGAGAAGCUGCCCUUUACAUAUUUUAACAGUGUUGCAGCUUGGAACUGAAGGCAGAAUUAAAACACACGAGAUGACGGCCACAGCAUAUCUCAAAAAAAUCCAGAUGAAGUGCCUUGAAUUUACUGACUCCAGAGGAGACCCUCUGAAUAUUAUCAGCUCUUCAGAUGAAUCUGGUGAACAUCUUCUAAAGAUUGAAUAUAUCAAGGCUGAUGCAGAGGGACCACAUUUUGAAACAAUUUACAACAGUACAAAGCAAGCAUUAAAUGUAUCCUUUUCUUCUUUAGACUUAUUGCUCUACACAGAAGCCUUGCUUUCCAUCAUGAAUUUUUUCACAUAUAGCUCUGCUUCAAGAGGUCUUGCCGCUGCCGAAAAGGGAGCUGACGUCAAGCAGCCAUCGGAGGAGUCCAAAGCUGCGGUUGAAAAGCCAGUUCCUUCUUCUGGGGCCCAUGACAAUGUUUGCGACUUGAAACUCACAGCCAAACUGAAGGCUUUCAACAUUCUACUCUGUGACCAGAAGUGUAACAUUGCUGAUAUCCGCAUACAAGGUAUGGAGGCGUCUGUUUUUGCGACAACAGAGCAGACAGAAGUUUUUGCCAGGCUUCAGGACUUUGUUAUCACCAACGUUGAUCCAAAGACAGUUCAUAAAAAGACUGUCUCCAUAGUGGGAGGCGAAGUCUUUCGGUUUAUGAUGUCCCUUUAUCCAGAAGUCACAGAAGGAGAAGCUUAUAUGGAUAUGUCCAAGGUAGAUGGUAAAAUGUCCCUGAAAGUGGGCUGCAUUCAGAUCGUGUAUCUGCAUAAAUUCUUCAUGUCGCUGCUGAACUUCCUAAACCGGUUCCAAACUGCGAAAGACGCCCUGAGUGCUGCCACAGCUCAAGCUGCAGAACGGGCUGCUUCCAGCAUGAAAGAUUUUGCGAAGAAGAGCUUUCGCCUUUCCAUGGACAUCAACCUGAAAGCUCCGGUUAUAGUCAUUCCUCAGUCUUCUGUCUCUCACAAUGUCCUGGUAGCUGAUCUUGGCUUAAUCAGAGUGCAGAAUGCAUUUAGCCUGGUCCCGGGAGAAGAGGCUUCUCCUCCUCCAGUCAUCGACCAAAUGGAUGUACAGCUAACUCACUUAAAGAUUUCAAGAACUAUGAUUGCCAAUGGUUCUCAGCCAGAUAUUGAAAUUGUGCAACCAGUAAAUCUGCUGUUGUCAAUCCAGAGGAAUUUAGCAGCAGCUUGGUAUCCACAAAUCCCGGGGAUUGCAAUCAAAGGAGACUUAAAAGCUAUGCAGGUAGCUCUCAGUCAAGAUGACUUAACUCUGCUCUUGAACAUUUUACUGGAAAAUCUUGGUGAAGCUGCUGUGCAGCCGGAGGUGAUGCCGCCAACCUUGCCAGAAGUUCAGAUGGUGAAACAGGGCAAAAUUCAAACUGAUGCUGGUCUCCCUGAAGACGUGUUGAUCACUUCAGGACAGGUUGAUCUCCCUGAAUCACAGCCUGAAAGUGUCACCCUUACGUUUCACUUUCACUUUGAGUCACUGUCAGUUGUUCUCUACAAUACCGAUGUUGAUAAGAGAUCCCAGCUUUCGCUUCACAAUAACAGUUUACGUCUUGGAGAACUCAGGCUACAUCUUAUGACAUCAUCAGGAAAAAUGUUUUCAAAUGGCUCUAUGGAUAUUAACACAAAUUUGAAAACGUGUACGCUGGAUGAUCUCAGAGAAGGGAUUCAAAAAGCAACGUCAAGAAUGAUAGAUAAGAAAGAUGAUCAAAGUGAUAAUGUCAUGAUUGACAUAAACUACAAUCAAAAUAAAAAUGGGAGUGAGAUUGUAGCAAUCCUGGACAAGCUGUAUCUGUGUGCGAGUGUGGAGUUCCUAUUGACAGUGGCAGAUUUCUUUAUCAAGUCAAUGCCAACAGCCUCAAUGGAAAGACCGACCCAGAUUCAAUUAAAGCAUACUGCCCCUGGGAAGCCUAAGCCCGAAAAAGAUGGAUCUCUGCAACCGAACAUGAUGAUGCUGGCACGGAUCAUGGACCCAGAGAUUGUCUUUGUUGCCAGCCUGACAAAGGCAGACGCCCCUGCCUUGGCAGUCACAUUCCAGUGCGACUGCUCCAUGUCGACGGGCCCUCUUGCUCAACAGAUGACUGCUCAAGUUCAUCAUCUUAGGGUGCUGGCUUGCCCUUUCCUCCGGAAGAAAGGAGACAAGAAUGUUACCACGGUCGUACAGCCCUGUUCUUUGCAUAUGGAAGCUAUGAUGUGUACUUCAGGAGAACAGAAUGUCUCUGUGAUGGUAGAAGAAUUUAUUGUGAAGAUUUCACCCAUAAUUCUCAACACGGUAAUAACCAUCAUGGCUGCCAUGAAACCAAAGCCUAAGGAGGAAGAGUUGGGAGGAACUGCUUGUGACGCCGUGAACCUAUGGGAUGUCCAGCCUAUUGACCAGUGCCACUCUUGGUUUCUUGGUGUUGACAUGGCCACAGAAGCCACGGAAACAUUCCUGAGCAGUGAACAGUGUGAGAAAAAGGAAAGCUUCAGAGCUGAGGUGAAAUCUGUCCAGAUCACCUUGGAGUGUGGUUUGGGGCAUUCUACCAUCCCCCUGUUGUUAGCAGAGUCUACGUUUUCAGGAACAGUGAAAAACUGGUCUUCGCUCAUGGCUGCCAGAGCUGACAUGACCCUGGAGGUUCACUAUUACAAUGAAUCUUAUGCAGUUUGGGAACCCCUUAUUGAGCGAACUGAUAAGGAAGGACGUCAGUGGAAGUUAAAGUUAGAAAUGAAAACAAACCCUGCACAAGAGAAAGGUUUGUUGCCAGGAGAUGACUUCAUCGUGCUUCCUGAGCCACAAAGUGUAAUCAAUAUUUCUUCAAGGGAUACCAUGAAUAUAACCAUAUCCAAAUGCAGCCUAGCAGUCUUCAGUAAUCUAGCCAAGGGGUUUUCAGAAGGAGCUGCCUCCACCUAUGACUCUUUAAAAGACAGGGCUCCAUUUACUGUGAAAAAUGCUCUGGGUAUUCCCCUCAAAGUCCAUGCAAGCCAAAAUCUCCAGGUGGUUGGAUUAGCAACAAGUGAAGACAUCCACGAUAUCGGAAUUGAUCAGAACAUGGAACUGGAAUAUUUUGCAUUGGAGUCCACGCACCAAGGGAAGUUGUCGGUUCUUCAUCGUCAGGAGAGCUGCAUGUUCACGUUGAGCCUUGCACCUCAAGGAUACACAGAAGUGGCCGGUAUUCCCAUAGCAAAACCAGGCAGAAGACUGCACAACGUCAGAGAUCCUCGCUUUGACCACUCUGACUCUGUUCUAGUACAGAUAGAUGCAAUCGAAGGGAACAAAGUGAUCACCAUACGCUCUCCUCUGCAGAUUAAGAACCACUUCUCUGUCCCAUUUAUAGUUUACAAAUUUGUCAGGAAUGUCAAAAUGCUGGAGCAAAUUGGUGUGUCUAAGCCUGAAGAGGAAUUCCAUGUUCCUUUGGAUUCCUACAGGUGCCAGUUAUUCCUUCAGCCAACUGGGAUUCUAGAAGGCCAAUAUAAAGUCUCUACAACCUACAUAACCUGGAGAGAAGAGCUGCAUAGGAGCAGCGAAGUCAGGUGUAUGCUCCAGUGCCCCUCCGCGGAAGUCAACUUCCUGCCUCUGAUCGUGAAUGCUGCUGCUGUGCCUGAUGAGCUCAACUUCAUUGCAACUCAUGGAGAGGACUGGGACCCAGCUUACGUUAUUCAUCUGUAUCCAGCGCUCACGAUGCGGAAUCUUUUGCCUUACUCUUUACGAUACCUGCUUGAGGGAACCGCAGAGGCCCAUGAGCUGCCAGAAGGAAGUACUGCUGAUGUGCUUCAUUCAAGAAUCAGUGGUGAAAUCAUGGAACUCGUCUUGAUUAAAUACCAGGGUAAAAACUGGAAUGGACAUCUUCGAAUCAAUGAUGCAUUGCCAGAAUUCUUUCCUGUGUGUUUCACAUCGAAUUCUGCAGACGUGAUGACAGUGGACUUGUAUAUUCAUGUUAGGAAGGUUGGCAGCCGGUUGGUCUUGUCUGUGUACAGUCCUUACUGGAUCAUCAACAAAACUUCACGUGUUCUCCAGUACCGUGCUGAAGAUGUACAUGUAAAACAUGCAGCAGAUUAUAGGGAUAUUGUCUUGUUCUCCUUCAAGAAGAAGAACAUUUUCAGUAAAAAUAAGAUCCAGUUAAGCAUCUCAACUAGCACAUGGUCUAGUAGUUUCUCUCUAGACACAGUUGGGAGUUAUGGGUGUGUGAAGUGCCCAGCCCAUUCUAUGGAUUAUCUGGUUGGUGUCAGUAUCAAAAUGAGCAGCUUCAACCUUACCAGGAUCGUGACUUUGACGCCAUUCUACACCAUAGCAAAUAAGUCCUCUUUGGAGCUGGAAGUGGGAGAAAUGGGACCUGAUGGUUCUCUGCCCACUAAUAAAUGGAGUUAUUUCUCUUCUUCAGAGUGUCUUCCAUUUUGGCCAGAAAAUGUGUCUGGCAAACUCUGCAUCAGGGUGAUUGGAGGUGAAGCCUUGUCUAAGCCAUUCUUCUUCAGCAGACAAGAUAAUGGGACUUUGUUGAGCCUGGAAGAACUGAACACAGGUAUUCUGGUAGAUGUGAAUGUGUCUGACCAUUCGACAGUUAUUAGCUUCUCCGAUUAUCACGAGGGGGCUGCUCCGGCACUGAUAGUUAAUCAUACUCCAUGGGAAACUCUUAGAUACCAGCAGAGUGGUGUCCAAGAACAGAGAGAACUCAAGCCAAGGGAAGUGCGACUCUUUGCAUGGGCAGAUCCCACUGGAGUAAAAAAACUGGUUUGGGCAUAUGCACAAAACACAGGGGAACUGGAUCUUCUGAAGGACGAGUGUGGUCAGUUUCCUUACAACUCCAACACUCAGAUUCAUUGGGUCUCUUUUUUGGAUGGACGCCAAAGGGUUCUCCUUUUCACGGAUGAUGUUGGGUUGGUUUCCAAAGCACGGCAAGCAGAGGAGAUGGAGCAACCUGAUCAAGAAAUAAAUGUGUCGCUUCACAGCCUUGGGCUUUCCCUUGUCAACAAUGACAGCAAACAGGAAAUUUCUUACAUAGGGAUCACCAGUUCAGGUGUGGUCUGGGAAUUCAAACCAAAGCAGAAGUGGAAGCCAUUUAACCAAAAGCAAAUAGGUCUCUUGGAGCAGAUGUAUCAAAAAUGGCAUUCUGCAGGAAAUGCGAAGGCUCUCAGCUGGGUUAAAAUUGACAGCAACUUUGAGGUUAAUUUUAGUAAGAUGCCGAUGGAAAUGCGCCUUCCAAUCAAAUGCAACAUCAAACGAGAUUUCUUAUCUGGCAUACAAAUUGAAUUUAAACAGUCACCACACCAAAAAAGUUUACGGGCCCAGUUAUACUGGCUUCAGGUCGAUAACCAGCUGCCUGGCUCCGUAUUCCCUGUUGUGUUUCAUCCCGUUGCUCCUCCAAAAUCUAUUGCCUUAGAUUCAGAACCCAAACCAUUCAUUGAUGUCAGCAUUAUCAUUAGAUUCAAUGAAUACAGCAAAGUGUUGCAAUUCAAAUAUUUCAUGGUUCUAAUCCAAGAGAUGGCUUUAAAAAUAGAUCAAGGAUUUUUAGGAGCUGUUUUUGGACUCCUUACUCCAUCUACCGACCCCGAAGCUGAAAAACAGAGGACCAAGUUAAUACAGAAGGACGUUGAUGCUCUGAAUACACAGUUGAUGGAAUCAUCCCUGAGUGAUAUGUCCGCACUUAGCUUCUUUGAACAUUUCCAUAUUUCUCCUUUGAAGUUGCAUCUGAGCCUUUCUCUAGGCUCUGGUGGGGAAGCAUCUGACAAGGGUAGAGGAGAAAUGAUAGCCAUCCAUUCUGUGAAUCUGCUGCUGAAGAGCAUUGGAGCCACUCUGACGGAUGUGGAUGAUCUUAUCUUUAAACUUGCUUUCUUUGAAAUCCGGUAUCAGUUUUACAAGAGAGAUCAGUUAAUGUGGAGAGUCUUUGGGCAUUACAGAGACCAAUUCCUGAAGCAGAUGUACGUUCUUGUUCUCGGCCUGGAUGUCCUGGGAAAUCCCUUCGGCUUGAUCAGAGGCUUGUCUGAGGGCGUGGAAGCCUUCUUCUAUGAGCCUUUCCAGGGAGCUGUUCAAGGGCCUGAAGAGUUUGCUGAAGGAUUCGUGAUUGGAGUGAAAAGUCUGCUUGGCCACACCGUGGGUGGUGCUGCAGGGGUGGUCUCUCGGAUCACGGGUUCUGUGGGGAAAGGUUUGGCUGCCAUCACGAUGGAUAAAGAGUACCAGCAGAAGAGGAGAGAGGAGAUGGGCCGCCAGCCCAAAGAUUUUGGGGACAGUCUUGCCAAAGGAGGGAAAGGCUUUCUCCGAGGGGUUGUUGGUGGAGUAACUGGAAUCAUCACAAAACCUGUAGAAGGUGCCAAAAAGGAGGGUGCCGCUGGAUUCUUCAAAGGGAUUGGGAAGGGCCUGGUAGGUGUGGUGGCUCGUCCGACAGGAGGCAUUGUGGACAUGGCAAGCAGCACGUUCCAAGGGAUCCAGAGGGUGGCAGAAUCGACAGAAGAAGUGUCAAAUCUCCGUCCUCCACGUCUUAUUCAUGAAGACGGCAUCAUUCGACCCUAUGACAGAGGUGAAGCUGAAGGCUACGACUUAUUUGAGCAACAACAGGAAUAAUGGAGUCUGCAUCUCUUUCCUUGAUUGUACUUCAUCAUCUCUGUCUGCCUUGGUUUAUUUUAAAAUAAAGGGUGCAAUGCUUUGAGUCUUUUAUGACAUUCAGUGUCUUCUCGCAACCCCUUUAAGUAUUGCUGGUACUAAACUGCUCAUUUCAAAUUAUAUAGAGAGAAUUUUCUGUCCAAAUUGUGUGGUGAUGAGGAGAACAGAAUCCUACAGAGCAUUUUUUUUAAUGUCCCAAUUAUUCUGAGCUACUCUUGUAUCAUUCUGUCUAAAGAAAUACUUAUGGCAUGCAUAUCAGCUUUUCACUAACACAAGCAUCAAUGUGGGAUAUAUUGGUUUAAAAUAUUUUUAUUAUAAAACUACCGUAUACAUCAAAAACUGCACAUCUGCCUUGGACAACUCCAACUGGCCACCACAAUUUCAAAACUUGCUUUCCUCAUGCUUUGUCACCCAUAUGAAAAAGACUGGAAUUGAUGCUCGCAAUGUAUCUUUAUUGUACUGGAACAUGUUGUGGGAACUAUUUUUUUAUCAAUAUAUGUAUGUAAAUAUAUAUUUAUUUAUAUAAUUGUAACUGUACUCCGGAGUGGCUCUCACUUGGCAGCUGGUGAGAGAGAGCUCACUUCUCCUGACAAAUGUUUUCAAGAAAUCAUAAAAAUAAAAUUAAGGCGGCGUGGGUGUGGGGUGGGGCUUGAAAUUGGUGUUCUGUUCUCAAAUGCAUUCUUUAUACUUUUGUUUGCAUAAUACCUCCUGCACCCUCUGUCUUCUGCUGGGGUCUUUUCCUUUUUACCAUGCCCAGGGACUCCGACUCCUCUGUUCUCCCCCCCCCCCCCGCCGCCUUCCCCAUACCACCCACUACGACCCUUUUUCUUAAGAUCCAUUAUGAAGAAGAGUUUGAGAAUAUAUUGCCCGCUUUCUUAUGUGACUUUAGUUGGUCCUGAUAAAGGGAUUAGCUUGCUGCUAUUUCAGGACGUUUUUUUCUAACAGACCAAUACCACCACUGCAGGUUUUGAGGGUUUCCAUGGAACUUAGAGGGCCACAUUGUGUAAGAUAAAUUUUUAAUGUGAAAUCUCUUCUGUGUUGAGACACCUGCUGUAUGUGAUGCGUGCACCCGGGUCUGCAUUUCCCAUCUGUAGAUGCAGCAAGAAUUCCUGAUUGUACACGUGGCAGAAUGGAUACAUGCGUACCGAUCCCAUGUGCCAGAGUAAAAACAGGAUGCCCAGAUGUUGGCUUUUCCUUCAUGGCAACUGACGAUAUGUGCACAACUUGCCUUCUGUGAUCCAGAAGGGCACCCAGCCUCAGAAAGGAGAUCAUUAUGAUCAUAAGCCCUUUGGGGACAGAAGUUUGCUGGUGCUUCUAUUUAUUUCCCUCCUAAUGUAAACCUGUAAAUAGAAAUAUUUGACCAAUGUAUGGGGCAGGGUCAUCAUCCAAAUUCUUGUAGCUGUAUUGUUGGUGAUGGUCUUCAUUGAUCAGCAGCAGUAAAGCUUUGCAGGAAAUGGAAAGAAUAAAAGCCCUCUUCAGAUGUUAUACAAAGGGUGAUCUACCAGCCGCGGAGCCAGCUGAACGGCGGCCUGGGUCUGGCCCCGCUCGGUGACCCCCUCCAGUUAUUCCCGUGCGUUUCGCUCUGGGCUCCUCUGGAGCCUGAGCCACAGGGCUUCGGUGGCCCUUUUCAUUGGCAGCCCGGGUUCUUUGAACCCGUUUGCACAAUGGUGGCUACGCCCCUCUGCUCUACUCAUGUGGAGCUCCUAAAACAAGGCCCAAAGUCCCGACCCAGCCCUGUUGGUCAUCCCGGUCAGCACCCUGAUCAUGGUUAGAGCAGCGCUCAUCUGAAGUGGCAAAUGCCACGUCCAUGAUGGUGGGCACUUGCAUGCUAGGGAGGCACAGGCCCACACCGCCUGAUCAUGGAAGCACCCACCAUCAUGAAUGCAGCAUUUGCCUCGUCAGACAAACGCCGCCCUAACCCUGAGCUCCUGACAGGGAUGACUGCCACAACGGGACUUCCAGCCCCAUUUCAAGCCCUCUACUUUUGUCGAACAUCUUUGGCAUAAUGUCUGAUUAGUGCUAAAGACUAAACAUUUAUGUUGCAUUAAGAGAAGGAAGGCAGAGAAAGAUCUUGCAGGAUAGUGGCAUUUUGGGCAACGCCUUGGUCUUGGAGCAUCAGAAGCGUCAGUCUAGAAUGAAUCCUGUUAACAAAUGUGUGUUCCGCCUUCAUAUACAUUCAAGGUGGAUUGUGAUGGUGGUUAUCAUGUGCUGAAGUACUUGUUUGUUUUUAAAAAGGACGUUUGUUAGGCCAGCUCAAAUACAACCUUCUGAAAGCAGUGUCCUGUUUAGUCGUUUCUGGUGCUGACCAACUAAAUGCUGUUCUUGUAAAACUUCCAUUUGCACUUGUACAAGCGAAGCCAUUCUUUGCAGAUUACAAUUUUUUAUGUAUUAUACAAUCUUUUGCCUAUAUAUUUGAAGAAGUACUUCAGGCUUGUGAAAAUAAAGUUCUGACCUGAGGGGGAAAUGAUGAA